This 68-nucleotide transfer RNA is filed under the name Sepiola affinis. Its description in RNAcentral is "tRNA-Glu". Lineage: Eukaryota; Metazoa; Mollusca; Cephalopoda; Sepiida; Sepiolidae. The record is from RNAcentral. RNAcentral also lists the same sequence under 1 other name.
AUUCUUAUAGUGUAAUUAUAGCACAUUAGAUUUUCAAUUUUUUAGAACACGAUUAUGUGUUGAGAAUA